Long non-coding RNA from Pongo pygmaeus (Bornean orangutan), 1725 nucleotides. RefSeq lists it as uncharacterized. NCBI's taxonomy places the organism in Eukaryota, Metazoa, Chordata, Mammalia, Primates, Hominidae. The record is from RefSeq and is a predicted model, not a curated record. The transcript has 3 exons.
UUGUUUUUUUUUGGUCGUGUGUGUGUGUGUGUGUGUGUGUGUGUGUGUGUGUGUGUGUGUGUGUGUGUGUGUGUGUGUGUGUGUGUGUUUCCCCCGCCGCCCCCAUUCUUUCCUUCUUUCUGGAGACGGAAUCUCGCUCUGUCGCCCAGGCUGGAGCUGGAGCGCGGUGGUGCCUCCUCGGCUCGGCGCCGCCGCUGCCUCCAGGGCUCUCAAGCGAACAGCAGUUUUUGUAUUUUGAGCGAAGACGGAAUUUCACCAUAUUGGCCGGGCUGGUCUCGGACUCCUGACCUAGCGAUUCCCCCCACCCCUCCCCCUCCCCCGCCUCGGCCUCCCAAAACGUGCCGGGAGUACGGGUGUCGGCCACCGCGCCCGGCCGAUUCCUUCUUGUUUUCAAUCUUCUUUUCUGCACGCUGCUGUGUGUGAGCAUACGUAUAUCUAUCUAGAUAGAUAGAUACGUAGAUAUGGACACACGGACACGUACCUACACCGACGAAAAUAUCUAGUGAUAAAACUAGACAUUUCCAUCAUUCAUACAUGUGUAUAGGAUAGAUGUUAAUUUUAAUGGAUGAACGUGUAUGACGUAAAAACCCAUGUCAUUUACAUAGACCUGUAUAUGUAUAUCCUUCGUUUAUUAUGGAUUAACAAUGUUCGUGUAUUUAUUUUCUUUUCUUUUGGGGCCUGCCUGAUCUUCUCACUCUGGGCUCUGGUGACCUCAGGCUCCCAAGUAGCUGGGAUGGGACUACAGGGAUCUCUUAAGCCCGGGAGGCAGAGGCGAACGUGGGCUGUGAUCGCGCGCCUCCACUCCACCUGGGCUGGGCUGGGCUGGAGAGAAAACGGUGGAUUGUCAUCUUCAUUACCUUACCUUUUAGCUUUAUUCGUACCCUCUUAUUUGCUUCUUUAUUCUCAUGGGUUAUUCUAGGUCGUUGUCAUGUUCAUCGUUUGCUUGCUUGUUUCAUUGGUUUCCUGCCUUCCCUGCCUUCCCGGCGGGGUCUUCCUCUGCCUCUGUCGCCCGGGAUCACCCCAGCCUCGACGAUUUCGACCGAGCGGCCGUCCCGCGUCUCAUCCCUCCCGUCCCCGUUCCCUGGGACUACGGGUGUGCACCACCACACCGGGUGUCGUCUCACACGUCGAGGUGAUCUCAAACGUCUACGCUCCGGCCAUCCUUCCACGUCGGCCUCCCGGAGUGCUGGGAUGACACGCGUGGGCACGACGGAGUUUCACUCUUGUCGCCCAGGGUGGACUACGAUGGCGUGAUCUCGGCUCGCUGCGACCUCCGCCUCCCGGGUUCGAGUGAUCCUCCUGCCUUGGCCUUCCCGAGGAGCUGGAAUGACGGGGAAGCGCCAUCGUGCCCGGCUGACUUUUAUAUUUUUAGUACAGAUGGGGUUUCUCCGUCUUGGUCAGCCUGGUCUUGAGCUUCCGACCGUUGGACGAUUUUAACUUUCUUGGUGGUUGCUUUUCUUUUUCUUUUUUUCUUUUCUUUUCUUUCCUUCUCCUCCCCCCACCCACUCCCCCUGUCCUCCUCGUCCUCCUCGUCCUCGUCCUCCUCCUCCUCCUCCUUUUUCAUCUCUUUCAGCUGGGCUCUCCUACUUGUGUUGCUCAGUUGCUCACGCUGGUCUCCAACUCCUGCCCUUGACGCUUCUCCCCUCACACCCACCGUCUGGUUGUUGAGAUGCGCACCUCUUGUAAAAUGGAAAAGAUGAAAAAAAUAAAAGACGGAGGUGAAAA